GAUGAACGCUGGCGGCGUGCCUAAUACAUGCAAGUCGAGCGAACAGAUGAGAAGCUUGCUUCUCUGAUGUUAGCGGCGGACGGGUGAGUAACACGUGGGUAACCUACCUAUAAGACUGGGAUAACUCCGGGAAACCGGGGCUAAUACCGGAUAAUAUUUUGAACCGCAUGGUUCAAUAGUGAAUGACGGUUUCGGCUGUCACUUAUAGCUGGACCCGCGCCGUAUUAGCUAGUUGGUAAGGUAACGGCUUACCAAGGCGACGAUACGUAGCCGACCUGAGAGGGUGAUCGGCCACACUGGAACUGACACACGGUCCAGACUCCUACGGGAGGCAGCAGUAGGGAAUCUUCCGCAAUGGGCGAAAGCCUGACGGAGCAACGCCGCGUGAGUGAUGAAGGUCUUCGGAUCGUAAAACUCUGUUGUUAGGGAAGAACAAAUUUGUUAGUAACUGAACAAGUCUUGACGGUACCUAACCAGAAAGCCACGGCUAACUACGUGCCAGCCGCCGCAGUAA
RNAcentral lists this ribosomal RNA (514 nucleotides) under uncultured bacterium. RNAcentral's name for it is "partial 16S ribosomal RNA". It matches the Rfam family "Bacterial small subunit ribosomal RNA", at positions 28 to 523 of the family's 1533-position model. The record is from RNAcentral.